GACGUAGGGCGCGAGCGUUAAUCGGAAUUACUGGGCGUAAAGCGUGCGCAGGCGGUUUUGUAAGCCAGAUGUGAAAGCCCCGGGCUUAACCUGGGAAUGGCAUUUGGGACUGCAAGGCUUGAGUGCGGCAGAGGAGACUGGAAUUCCUGGUGUAGCAGUGAAAUGCGUAGAUAUCAGGAGGAAUACCGAUGGCGAAGGCAGGUCUCUGGGCUGACACUGACGCUCAUGCACGAAAGCGUGGGGAGCAAACAGG
This 253-nucleotide ribosomal RNA is filed under the name uncultured bacterium. Its description in RNAcentral is "partial 16S ribosomal RNA". It matches the Rfam family "Bacterial small subunit ribosomal RNA", at positions 524 to 776 of the family's 1533-position model. The record is from RNAcentral.